This 501-nucleotide ribosomal RNA is filed under the name uncultured bacterium. RNAcentral describes it as "partial 16S ribosomal RNA". It matches the Rfam family "Bacterial small subunit ribosomal RNA", at positions 28 to 523 of the family's 1533-position model. The record is from RNAcentral.
GACGAACGCUGGCGGCGUGCUUAACACAUGCAAGUCGAACGGCAGCACGGGUGCUUGCACCUGGUGGCGAGUGGCGAACGGGUGAGUAAUACAUCGGAACGUACCUUAUCGUGGGGGAUAGCGCAGCGAAAGUUGCGCUAAUACCGCAUACGCCCUGAGGGGGAAAGCGGGGGACCGUAAGGCCUCGCGCGAUUAGAGCGGCCGAUGUCUGAUUAGCUUGUUGGUGAGGUAAAAGCUCACCAAGGCGAUGAUCAGUAGCUGGUCUGAGAGGACGAUCAGCCACACUGGGACUGAGACACGGCCCAGACUCCUACGGGAGGCAGCAGUGGGGAAUUUUGGACAAUGGGGGCAACCCUGAUCCAGCAAUGCCGCGUGAGUGAAGAAGGCCUUCGGGUUGUAAAGCUCUUUUGUCAGGGAAGAAACAGCAGCUCUAACACAGUCUGCGAAUGACGGUACCUGAAGAAUAAGCACCGGCUAACUACGUGCCAGCCGCCGCGGUAA